CUGCAGCCUCUUUCGGGUACAAUACACAUCUGUAUUUCAAUUGUAUCUAACACAUUUGUCCCCUCAUCCUUAUAUCUUAACCUGCUUGGUUCUCUCGAGGUGUAAGAGUGUCAUUUCACAAGUCCUCUUCCGAUUUUAUAAGGGUAAUUAGCCCUUUUGUAACCACGAGGGCAUUUUGUUCCCUAUAGCUCCCCCCUCUCUCAAGUUUUCAUCUAAUACAAAUAGUCCCUUUGCUUUUUACGAGUCGUGAUAGAGGUGAUCAAGGAGCAAAAAAAUAAAUCUAACUGUUACCCCAAGUUUUAGCUUUGAAUUGAUGUUGUCAUUGCUCGUAUUCAAGGCAUGUAUUCCAAAAUAUCUGCAAUCUAAUAUGGUAUGUUUCCAUGGAAAGAGACGUUUCUCAUUUCUUGCAUCUUCUUUUUUACUUUAUACUUAACAUCUCUUCUUUAAAUAUCUUCAAUCCUUUUGUCUUAAUCUUUUUUCCACACACUUAGUCUUUCUACAACCAUAACCGUUUUCUUUUGAUUAGUCAUGACUUCUGCAACAUCUAAGUUCCCUAUCCACCAGAUUUUUUUGGUGACGUUUCGAUUUAGAGAUGAUUUUAAAGUUGAAGAUACUAAGAUUCGAUCGAUUAGCGAUCUAGGCUCCUUGGUAAAAGACAUCAAUAUCCCCGCCAUCUGUCAUGACUGAAUUUUUCAAAACCUUUCCUAUUGCUAUCUCACUGAUAUUUAAAGAGUGCCGUCUGAACCAAGCUAGGCUAUUCCUUUGUUUACACCCAUCCAUUCACUCUUGACUUCAACCCUUCUAUCAUAAAGUUGGUUGCAGCCUUUUGCAUGAGAUUUCAACUAAGUUUUGGGUAGGUUUGCUGACGUGUGGAGGACGGUAACCAAUCUUUACAUACACUAGCUCAUGGAUGAAGAAAGCCUAUCCAUGGAUUAUCUCGUUUUACUUUAUUCACCUCAUCUGUUUUACGGAGAGGUGGUCAAGCUAGUGUGUUGGGGGAAAAAAACCCCUCUUCUCGAGCUUGGACGAUAUUCAUGAUAGAGAGUAACUGCCAGGUUCUUUAUCAUGGCCACUGAAGAGUUGUCCAGGAUUUUUUUUGUAUUUCGCUGGAACUUCCACCCGUACAUCAUUCUUAAACGUGCUCUUCGUUGGAACCAGAACAUGGAUCAUUAAAAUCUUGGAGGUUUCUACUGCUGACAGCUAGAUUUUUGUAAAAAUUACCUCUGGCCAGGGGUGAAGAGUCAAGACCCAUGGUAUGAUUUUUAUUUACUUCAAGUUUUUUUUUACGUACUUCACGCCUGCAAUAUUUCCUGAAUUCAUCUAAAGGUCUCUCUAGAGGUCGACUUCUUAUCAAGGCCAGAUCAAGAUACUAAUUACUCACAUCUGAUCCUGUUUCGACAUGACAUGAAGUAUAUUGACCGGGUUGCCAUCGAAUUCUGAAAAAUAAUGCUCAAGUUACCCCAUAGGUCCACACGCUGACUUUUGACAACCUUCGGCUCUAUUUAAAGGAAAACAUAGUGUUGUCUAUGAAGGUUGAUGCUUUAGAAAAGAAAAUCUUCUUAUACCAUGACCCUUCGACAUCUACCGAUCUGCUGACAUUUCAAAAUUCAGUGAUCAGAACUUGAUGUGGCUCAUGGAAAGAUAGAUGGCCAUGCAUAUGAGGUCAUCAAGGGCUUAAAUAUACUCAAGAGAAACAUAUUGAGGCCUUCAUAAAAAAUAUGUCCACUUUUGGAAAGAGGAUACAACAUCUCAAAGCGAGAGACAGAGAUGGUGCAUCUCGUCAUAUUUCUCUAGCUUCUCAUAAUAAGAUAUAUUGGUUGGAAAGGAAAGUGAACUUCAAGAGUUAAAAGGUUUGCCAAUGAAGGCACAAAUCAGAAUUGGACAAACCACUCUUAGUUUUGAAGACCAACUUUAGAUCCUUGAGGACUUUAAUAUUGACAAAAAAUCUCUGAAUACCAGCACUUAUUAUGUCUUGCUUAUGAUUCUUCACCUCUGGAAUAACUUGUGUCCAUAUAUGAUGAAGACCUUUCAGACGAAGAGGCAUCUAUCGAGUGACGGCUCCUCUUUGAGACUCUGCUUUUAUGAUGUUUUAAAGAAGUUCCAACUUUUUUUGUACAUACCGCUUUGGGAUU
Capsicum annuum is the source of this 2132-nucleotide long non-coding RNA. RefSeq lists it as uncharacterized. Lineage: Eukaryota; Viridiplantae; Streptophyta; Magnoliopsida; Solanales; Solanaceae. The record is from RefSeq and is a predicted model, not a curated record. The transcript is spliced from 3 exons.